AGCGAACGCUGGCGGCAGGCUUAACACAUGCAAGUCGAGCGGGCACUUUCGGGUGUCAGCGGCGGACGGGUGAGUAACGCGUGGGAACGUGCCCUCUGGUUCGGAAUAACUCAGGGAAACUUGAGCUAAUACCGGAUACGCCCUUUUGGGGAAAGGCUUGCUGCCGGAGGAUCGGCCCGCGUCUGAUUAGCUAGUUGGUGAGGUAACGGCUCACCAAGGCGACGAUCAGUAGCUGGUCUGAGAGGAUGAUCAGCCACACUGGGACUGAGACACGGCCCAGACUCCUACGGGAGGAAGCAGUGGGGAAUAUUGGACAAUGGGCGCAAGCCUGAUCCAGCCAUGCCGCGUGAGUGAUGAAGGCCUUAGGGUUGUAAAGCUCUUUUAUCCGGGACGAUAAUGACGGUACCGGAGGAAUAAGCCCUGGCUAACUUCGUG
Molecule: ribosomal RNA, 435 nt
Filed under: uncultured bacterium
Lineage: Bacteria
Description: partial 16S ribosomal RNA
Rfam family: Bacterial small subunit ribosomal RNA
Source: RNAcentral